RNAcentral lists this long non-coding RNA (7951 nucleotides) under Sorghum bicolor (sorghum). RNAcentral describes it as "long non-coding RNA (SBIC_LNC005240)". The record is from RNAcentral. Lineage: Eukaryota; Viridiplantae; Streptophyta; Magnoliopsida; Poales; Poaceae.
GUGGUAUUUCUGGAUCCUUACCAAGGCAGUGAUGGUAUAUGCCUUCUCUUAAAAUAUGUGGUAUUUGUGGUAUAAGGCAUAGUGACAUUGCCUUCUCUCUCACCCUACUCUAAUAAGGCUUUAAUAUCUGGAGCUCAUAGGUGGGAGAUAAAGUAUACAUACUUACAAGACAUUUAUUGUAUAGUCAAACCAUGGAUCCAAAGAAACAAAUCAAUAAGCCAAAUCAAGAUGUGCAUGUGUGGCGAAUGAAUGGUGUAUGGUGAUGAUGGUGAUAACAAUGGUGAAAGUCUAAUUCUACCUUUGCUCUUUUGAGGGGAUACAUACCUUCCUUGCUUUUUGAAACUUUAUGAGGAGAAUGAGAUGCUCUUCUUUUUCUUUCCUCUCAGGUGGGUAUCUUGUACCCCUAAUUCUACUGCCGGACACUUGUCUAUUUUUACCUCUCGUCUCACUUUUUCUUUCUUUCGAGGUUCCGGGCACUUGCCCCUUUUUAUUUCCUCGUUUAUUAUUAUUAUUAUUAUUUUUCUUUUCUUCUCUUUUCUUAUUUUUCAGAGCACUCAUCUCCUGAAAUAAUGUAGCAAGUGGUAGUAACCAAAAUAACUGGAGCAUUUAUUUCACAGGGAAUAACAGGGAUAGGAAAAUGUUUUUGGCUAUUCUCUCCCGGAUUAGGAGUAGAAUGAUUUUGGGUGAAACUGGAGAUGGAAAUGGAUGGAUAUAUGUGGAUGGUACUGUUGACUGUCCUUAAGUAUCAAAUUUAAUUAUCAAAUAAACAAAGAAAAGGAUCUAAAUGAAAUCAACAUCUAGACUUAGGGUUUUAUCUGACAGAAUUCCACAAGUUUUGGUGUUUGUCUAUUUCUGCAGGGGGUUAUCAGGAAAUAUGAAAGAAAGGCCCACACGUCGGGUUUACAUAGAGAUAUUAACGUGCCGCACAAUUUUCUACCAUCUAGAAGACUCCAGAAGCCACGGGAACGAACGGGAGGCCGAUCGGGCCCGGGAGCAGGGCGCCCGCCCAAGUCCCUUGGGUGCCCGCCCAGCUACAGUAACCAAUCAUCUUCAACUUCGCGGAUCAUGCUCCACCGACCUAAUACUUUAAGGAAAACCACACGAUCAAUGUCGGUUUGAUCCGACGGCCCAGAUUCAUCUGAAAAGACUAUAUAACCAGACCCCCUGGCCCUUGGAGGAGGCACCCCUUGAUCAUUAUUCAUUAUUCAUAGACAGAGCAAAAGCUAGGGUUUAGAGAUGAGAGCUCUCCUCUCUUCUCUAAACUAGAGUAGAUCUAGAUAGUAGCAAGAUGGAGAGCGAAGGAGGAUUAGAGGAGAGGCCGGCCUGUCGGUUCUUCCUCCGGUUGUACUUCGUCAUGAUCAAGCUCUAAUCAAGCUUGCUCAUGGGAUGACUCUGGUAAUCUACUUCUAAUUCAUUAUGCAGUUACUAAUUAUGUAUGUUCUGGUUCACAACUCUUUUGAGUACUUCUAAUCUAUAGGACGCUAUAGGUUAGAGUUGUAGUAUAGGUGUAAGCGAGGUGCUUAGAUCUAGAUUACUUGUGGAUAUCCCCUGUCUAGCUGGAUCGUGUGGUAGGCCGCGUAGGUGACAGUUACGUUGGACCUCUGUAGUCCACCUCUCGUUAGCAGGACGGGUAGGGUUUAUCGGCCUAAGGAUAAGCAUCCUUUGUAGUGUACUCUUAUCACGUGGUUCAUCCCAGACAUAGACAUACCCCUUUGAAGUAGAGAAACCAUAGUUAUCCUCUCUAUUCUGCUACCAUCACCCAUAUACUAGAUUGCUCUACUCUCUAUUCCCAUAUUAUCAUUCACUGUUAUCUUACCUUUAAUAUUAUUCUUAUUUAAUUCUACCAUCUUUCCUAUUUACACCUAUCUAUCUAUCUUGGUUAAGUUAGAGCGUAGUUGGUUCUCCCGUUUCCCUGUGGAUACGAUAAAACCUUUAACCGGGUAAAAGCUUCAACGGUAUCCGUGCGCUUGCGGAUUAUCUGUGUGCGUAUAAAUACCAUAGUACACUCUAGUGCCAUGCUGGGGAUGACAACCUAGUAUUCAAGUGGUGUUAGCAAGUGUCAACAAGCAUUUUUGGCGCCGUUGCCGGGGAAACGGUUGCUGAGUUGACUACGAAGUAGCUUAAUCAUUUUCUAAAAUAAGGAAUAAAAAUAAAAAAAUUAUUUUCCUUUUGUCCUUUGCCUCAUCUCUGCUAAUCUUUCUUCUUAUCUAAUCCUUGAUCUCUGGUCUAUCAUGAAUUCAAACAUGUCUAUCUAUGAAUUUCAUAGACCUACGGGCACACAUCUCGAACCACCAAAAUCUUCAACGCCUAUCAUAGCAUCUAGUUUUGAGAUAGACCCCGAAUACAUAGAAUUUGUUCAAAAACAACCUAUCAUAGCAUCUAGUUUUGAGAUAGACCCCGAAUACAUAGAAUUUGUUCAAAAACAACCUUUCUCAGGAGAAGGUGAGGAAAACCCAUACACACACCGAAGAGAGUUUUAUCGAGUCUGUGACCUCCUUCGCAUAGAAGGAAUGUCCGAUGAGACCCUUAAAUGGAAGCUCUUUCCGUUCUCUUUAACGGGAAAAGCUAGACAUUGGUACAAACUUAAAAUAGGGAGUGUUCAUGGAUAUUGGAAGGAGUUACAUAAUAGUUUUCUUUUAAAAUAUUUUCCAAUCUCCAAAGUGGCGGAACUUCGGCGUGAGAUUAUUUCUUUUAGACAACUGGAAGAAGAAUCUCUUAGGAAAUCAUGGGACCGCUUUAUUAACCUUACUCUCACUGGCCCAAAGCUUUCUAUUCCAGAAGAAGUUCUUCUAAUUCACUUUUUUGGGGGCCUUAGUAGGGAAAAUAAGCAAACCUUGAAUACAGCCUCUAGAGGAUCCUUCUAUCACCUACCUGCUAGUGAAGCUUGGAAUUUGAUUGAUUUAUUAAGUGGAAAGUCUCCUAGCUUUUAUAUCCCUGAGAAAGAGACAGAACUAGUUCCUAGACAAGAAGAAGAAGUUUCGAUAGCCAGAUCACAAGCACUUCAAUUCCAAACUUUAGCUAUCGAUCCUAAACCAUCAAUACCCCAAAAUUCUCCAAGGGAGGAAGGAAUUCCGACCUUAAAUCUUUCAGAUGCAGAUGGUUUAGACUUCUGGUUCCAUAAGAGACCUUCAAGCAGGGAUAAUUGAAAUCCUCGCAAUAAUGGUUCUCUUAGAGAAUGUCCUGGUUCCUGUUAUGAAGAAGUCGAGGAUGACACAUCAAGUAAAGGAGAGCUAAGCCAUAUUGAAAAUUCUAACACCUCCCCUUUCCUGAUCACAAGUUCUAAAUGGCUAGAAUGUGUAGAAUGGAUGGAUAAGGAAGAAGCCUUAAUGAAUUCUGACUUUGGUUCAAUUUCAAAUGGUGAGUUCUUGACUCCCUUUGAAGAUGGGAUUCAUCCAACUAUAGAAGAGGACACAAGUGAGACCAAUCCAAGAGGAACUCUGAACAUUCAGAUUGGAGACGAAGAUAACAUUAAUGAGCAUGGAAUUUAUUUCAUAGCCACUUUGUUUACUCCAUGCUCAUAUGCAACAUCUUCCCAAUCUAUUGGUCUCUCCAACAUCACCACAUUUGAGAUCUCCAACCCCCUCUUCCUUUCUAUUUAUAAAAACUUUAAAAGGGCGGUUGUCGAUGCAUAUGUCUAUAAUAAAUAUUGCAGAUCUCGUUGAGUUGAUCUUGAUAUAGGUCAGCGUUGGAAGGGAAACCACUUCGCCGACAUAAAUUGAUGGUUUCCCAAGGACAAGCUUAGUGUCUUAAAAUAAGCACUGAUCAGAUCAUAACAUGAGUUUUUAAUUAUUUGCAACAUUACCUUGUGUAUUGAGCAUAUAAGGAUAAUUGUAAAAAUAUUCCUUCGGGUAUUCUUGUCACUAACCUUUCCAGGAUUGGAAUAAGAAGAUCAGAUGAAUGACAAGCAAGCAUAAGGUAUGUCCAACCAAUCAUCAUGCAACACUGAAUUAAAUUCAUCCAAACUUGAAUUCUGCAAAGUUCAAGCUUGGGGGAGUACUUUACAUAAAAACAUCCUUUGCCAUGUUGCUAUGUUGGUUGUCCCUACCCUUAAGACAUGCUCAAUUUGUUAAAUACUAAUCACACUACUUCAUCUCCACUUGAGUGGAUCUCUAUAAAUGCUGUCAUGUUACCUUUGUCUAUUUACUAGUAAGUGUUAGUUUGGAAGUACUGCACAUACUUCUAUUGACUUUUAAAUUAAGCAUGGUGCUUAGGUUUAAACAGCCUUCCUUAAUCUGAUAGACAUGGAGUCUAGUUUGGUUAUUGAACUAAAAACUGCUUGUGUAGACAUUGGUAUAUUUUUGUCGGACUAACCCCUGCAGAAAAACUUUCAAUAUUGAUUUGGAAAGUCCUGAGAUAAACUCACAUCAGAGACGAAGAGAGUGACACAUGAAGUUUAACAAUUUGCACAAGAAGGACAUAGCUCAUUCAUCAUAGAGAGAUGAUCCAUGGAGAGUGCCACAAACACGAUGCACAACCGCUAAGAAAGGAAAACUUCCACAAGGUGAUACUGUACAAUCACUCUUCAAGCAAGGUAACAUCUUAAGGUACUUGACUAUCACUUUUAUAAGCUUCUCCUUGGUUCCGGCGUUCAUAUAAAUAAAAGAGACAAACAUGUAUGAUUUACAACUCUAGAUUAACCAACCCAACUGAUUCAACAUGUUUAGUCCUGUAAUCCUUGUUCUUAGUACUACCUCCAUGAUCCCACACUCCUAAUCAUAUGAGCUAAAAUGUUACACAUUCAAUCAUUGAGAGAUAUAAAGAAAAAGACAUAUACAUAGAUAGAUUAUCUUUCCAUAAGGUUGAGCGAUCUGAUCUGACAAAUGUUAUAAGUGCUACACUCAUGAACUUUUCAUCCAUCAACUUUGUCUUGCUCACUAUGCUUAGGGUUAGAGAAGAAUAAAAACACUUUUGGUUCUGUUGGUGUUUUCCACCAACAGGACCCAUGCACUUGAUCUCUGCCUUGUCUCUAUGAGCAGGUACACUUCGAGCAAAACAUAGAGGAGUUUUAUAACUCUCAGACUCUACCAAGUGAAGGACCUGGAUCUACGAGUACAAACACAGUGAGCAGGAUACUGCCAACGCCGCACUUCGAACUGCUGGGCAAACGAAGAGGUGCAGACGUCAAGGUCCGCACCUGAAUCAAAUGACGCACCUGAAGAAUGAACACAGUGAGAAGUCUUGUUAAGAAGACUUAAAACAUUGAACCCUCGCCGAAAGGUAAGAUCGGUAGUUAUCCAUAUUUAUCCUUUCUGCAUUCCCUUUUCCCUUUAAUUAUUUACUUUCCUUAAAUAGAUUAUUAGUUAAUCAUGCUAUCUUGAAAAGAAAAUAAAAAUGUUAAAAAAAUACUAAGCCCCAUGUGAGUAUACGAGUGGCAUAAAACCCAUAAGUACCUUCACUGUGGUGGCAUAAAAAUAAAAUAAAUAUUUCUUUUCUGCUUUAUAAAAUAAAAAUACAAAAAUAGGGAGUAAUAUUUAUUGAGGAAGCUCAACAUGAUAAAGGCUAGAUAUUUAUGCUAACACUUAAUUAGUUCCACAAGCUUUGUUGUCUAUUUGAGCUCCACAGAAUUUAAGAAUCAAGAAGACUAGCAGACGGAGGACAUUCUAAUCGCUGUCAGAAUGCUGCUGACUUUCAAAUACACCUCUGCAACCUGCUAGCAACAUCAAGAGAAAUUACGUCAAAAUUCAGCUUGGAGGAGAGCACCCCCAUUUAUCUCGCUAAGUAUUUCUACCUAUCUUUAUACUUAUAUUAUAUUAGAAUAUUAAAAUACAUAAACUAUGAAAAACCUAAUAAAGAUUUUGUGCUUAUAUAUAUAUCUUUUGAUUAGUGUGUUUAAUAAAUAAAGUGGCUAUGCUAAUCUGAAUCUUAAUAAUAAAACUCUAGCAUGGAUAUGAUGAAUAGUUGCUCUGCCUAAUUUGCAAAUUUAAAGUUCUUUCUCAAGUUUAGACAUAACUGUUAUAAUUUAAAGCUUGCUCUAGAUCUAAACUUGUGGGAUGAAAACUUGAUCUGAAAUCUAAGUUGUUAACGGAUAUGAUAUGGGAAGGUUGAGCUGCUGUUUAUCUGUUCCUUGAGAUGCUAGAAUUCUGGAGAAUUUUAUCUUUGAAAAAUCUUUAAAAUAUUGCGUGAUGAGUUCCUAUAUGAUGAGAGUUUAAAUUCCUACCAUAGCCAUAUAUACAUGCUUGCUAGACUUUGAGCCACACAUUUAUUAUUUACUGCUUAUGAGCAUUGAGUGUGGUCAAGCUGUGUAAACCCUUAGGAGCUUGUCAUGUGGUUAAAUCAAGAUUCACUUGCACGUUCACUCAUAUAUGCUACUUCUACUCUGGAAGUACCAUCCACAUCCAUCUCCAGAACCACCCAAAAAUAUUCUACUCCUAAUCCGGGAGAGAAUAGCCAAAAAUAUUUCUGUUUUCCCUUGUGAAAUAAAUGCUCAAGUUAUCUUGCUACUACCACUUGCUAUAUUAUCUCAAGAGAUGAGUGCUCUAAAAAAGAAGAGAGAAAAGAGAAGAAAAAAAAUAAAAAAAACAAGGAAAUAAAAAGGGGCAAGUGCCCGGAACCUCGAAAGAAAGAAAAAGUGAGACGAGAGGUAAAAAUGGACAAGUGUCCGACAGUAGAAUUAGGGGUACAAGAUACCCACCUGAGAGGAAAGAAAAAGAAGAGCAUCUCAUUCUCCUCAUAAAGUUUCAAAAAGCAAGGAAGGUAUGUAUCCCCUCAAAAGAGCAAAAGUAGAAUUAGACUUUCACCAUUGUUAUCACCAUCAUCACCAUACACCAUUCAUUCACCACACAUGCACAUCUUGAUUUGACUUAUUGACUUGUUUCUCUGGAUCCAUGGUUUGACUAUACAAUAAAUGUCUUGUAAGUAUGUAUACUUUAUCUCCCACCUAUGAGCUCCAGAUAUUAAAGCCUUAUUAGAGUAGGGUGAGAGAGAAGGCAAUGUCACUAUGCCUUAUACCACAAAUACCACAUAUCUUGAGAGAAGGCAUAUACCAUCACUGCCUUGGUAAGGAUCCAGAAAUACCACAAAAGAGAGAUUUAGAGAGUCAUACAAGGAAUCUCUGAGUUUUAUUUGAAAAUCUGCAAAAACUCCAGAGCUAUAGCUGAUCAAGAACAAGAGACAUGGCACUUGGCUAAACUGUUCUAUCUUUUAACUACUCAAGACAGAAGUGACGGUUACAAGUCCCAUGGUGAAAGGUAAAGUAAGUAAGUUUUAGUUCUUGACAGUUUACUCUAACUCAGAGAUGAGAUCUUAUUUAAAAGCAUGUGUACCGUCAAAUUUUUAAGAUAUUGCAACAACUUCUGAUCCAUUGCUGAGUCUAUCCUUGCUCAGGGACGAGCAAGAGGUAAGCUUGGGGGAGUUUGUUGACUGUCCUUAAGUAUCAAAAUUAAUUAUCAAAUAAACAAAGAAAAGGAUCUAAAUGAAAUCAACAUCUAGACUUAGGGUUUUAUCUGACAGAAUUCCACAAGUUUUGGUGUUUGUCUAUUUCUGCAGGGGGUUAUCAGGAAAUAUGAAAGAAAGGCCCACAUGUCGGGUUUACAUAGAGAUAUUAACGUGCCGCACAAUUUUCUACCAUCUAGAAGACUCCAGAAGCCACGGGAACGAACGGGAGGCCGAUCGGGCCUGGGAGCAGGGCGCCCGCCCAAGUCCCUUGGGUGCCCGCCCAGCUACAGUAACCAAUCAGCUUCAACUUCGCGGAUCAUGCUCCACCGACCUAAUACUUCAAGGAAAACCACACGAUCAAUGUCGGUUUGAUCCGACGGCCCAGAUUCAUCUGAAAAGACUAUAUAACCAGACCCCCUGGCCCUUGGAGGAGGCACCCCUUGAUCAUUAUUCAUUAUUCAUAGACAGCGCAAAAGCUAGGGUUUAGAGAUGAGAGCUCUCCUCUCUUCUCUAAACUAGAGUAGAUCUAGAUAGUAGCAAGAUGGAGAGCGAAGGAGGAUUAGAGGAGAGGCCGGCC